AAUGGACUUUCCAGAAUUGAAAAUUGCUGAAUUAAGGACAAAGAAGCAGAAAGUGGUGCAUUUUCUCAGGAAAGCACCUUGCAUUUGAAAGCUGACACUCUCUUGCGGCCUCAUUACGAGGCGUCAAAUCUGACCCUGCUUCCUUUAUCACAAAUCUUAUCCCCUUCUUAAUAAACAUACAAUUUAGGGGAGCAGAGAGAGUCAAAAGAACGACAUUGUCUAGAUUAUAAAUCCUCAGCAUCGGAUGAUUUUCCCUCCUUUCCUGUGGGGCAGAAAAAGAGGUGCUCAGCCCAUUUCCAGUCAUGAUCCUACAGUGAACAGAGGACACACUCGUGUAGUGGAACCGAGGAAGGAUUUGUGAAGGGAUUAUUUACAAAGGUGUGAACAGAGUUAAGGAAAGCCAAAAGGCACAGAGAAGCAUCCAGCUAUAGCAACAGUGGAAAGCUGCAACCACCAUUAGCAAGGGGAGGAAAUGGUUACUAGACCCAGUGAGAGUUGCAGCUGCAGAGGAGGGCAGCCUGGCAGGACCUUUUUCUGAAUAAGAAUGCAGUCCCCGGCAGUCCAUGGCCCAGUAUGACUCAAGGAAACAGAUACCGCAACAUCUUUCUCCAAACUCCGGUCUCCCACCAGUGCCUCCCAGCCAGAAGCCAGGGAGCAAAAGAGUUCCUUGGAGCAGCAUAUAGAGGUCAGCAUUCUGGGGACCCAGAGCAGAAAGAGGAGCUGGGAAUGGAUCUGGAGGGGCAAGCAGAGACUAUCCAGAGCUCUAGGAUGGCGGGGGCACUCCACUAGAGGGAUCUCGAAGACAGGCCUUGGGAUCUCAUUCCCUGAUUGGAAUCUUACUGAGCUGCUGUGCUGGUGGAAAAGCAGUGCAAAAGCAAUAACAAACUGGUGACCAUCUAGUGGAAGAAUCAAGAGGCUCUGAAUUCCCCUUCAGAGACUUCUUAGCACCCUGAAAAUUAUCUUCCUAAUCCAAGGUACACUAUUGCACAUUUGACAAAUGUAUUCUCAUCAAUUCCCCACAGCAAUGCUAGAAAGUACUUACUGCAACUUUAUAGAUGAAGAAACUGAAAUUUAGGGAAGUUGAAUUUGUAAAAAAUUGGUUUAAAUUCAAUCAGGUAGAAAGUAAUAGAGGCAGACUUCAAAUUCCAGCCUAAGGAGAGUGUUCAAGAAAUCCAGGAAUCCUCCCAAGGGGCAGAAGCAGUCACAGUCCUGGUGGAAUGGCGGAGGCCUGGGGCCAGGACCAGGAUAACACAGAGCUGCAACGACAGUGUCCACACCCAACUAGUAGUGGUGGCAGACAGACACCUCAAGCCUGAGGGAGACUGGCAGUGUGGACUCUGAACACAGAAGCUGAUGUCUAGAGAGCAGCAUGAUGAGAAACCUUAAUCAGCGGACAGCAAAGACCCAGAGAGCAGCACAUAGAAUGGAAGACCCUUUCACCACUGCUCUCGAAAAAACUGUUGCUUUUGGGGAAUAAGAUGACAUCUUGGGAAAGUGAGGGAGUGGGGAAGGAGCUGUGAAAGACUGAUCAUCUGCACUAAAGAGACUGAGUUGCUCUAAAGACGACAGACUUAUUUCCAGCUGACUGGCAAGACCCAGUGGUUCCCUGAGUCUCCCUGCCAGAACCUCCACUGCCUAGCAGAAUGAGCUGAUAGAGGAUUAAGUGUGUUUUGUUUUAGUUUAACCAAGAAUGAAGACUUUCUCUUUCCUGUAAAAGUUCGGAAGUAUCUGAAGAAGACCAUAAAUACCACACUCCUUCUAGAUCUAUUGUUCCACCAUUUCUAGGAUGUCACAAUUUCCCUGAUGGUCCAAGAUAGUGGUAUUUAUAUUUCAAAAAGAAUGUUGAAAAAAGGAAGGGGGAAGAACAGAAAGGGCAUGCACCAGAUUUCCUUCAAAAAAGGCUCUUACAAGUUGUCAAAUCUAAUCCACUUAAGUCCCACUAGCCAGAUAUUAGCUUCAUGGCCACAUAUAGCUUCCAAAAAUACUGGGUAAUGCAGAAUUUUGGGGGUCACUGUAUUAGUGUGUUCUCAUGCUGCUAAUAAAGUCAUACCUGAGACUGAGUAAUUUAUAAAGGAAAGAGGUUUAAUUGAAUCACAGUUCCGCAUGGAAGGAGAGGCCUCACAAUCAUGGUGGAAGGUGAAUGAGGAGCAAAGUCAUGUCUUAGAUGGUGGCAGGCAAGAGGGUUUGUGCAGGGGAACUCUAACUUAUAAAACCAUCAGAUCUUAUAAGUCUUAUUCACUGCCAUGAGAACAGUAUGGGAGAAACCGCCUCCAUUAUUCAAUUAUCUCUACCUGGCCCCACCCUUGACACCUGGGGAUUAUUACAAUUAGAGGUGAGAUUUGGGUGGGGACACACAGCCAAACCGUAUCAGUCACCAUGACUAUCUAAAAGUUCUACUAUUUCAGAAAAAAGACACAGAGAUGUUGGGAGAAAAUGAGGAACUCUGUCAUAGGGUCAUAGAUGUAAGACACUAUAGAGGGAAGUGAUGACUGAGAUACAGCCUGGUGAUGAUUCAUUAGUCUUUUAGAGUUUAUCACACAUUUGACCAUACCAGGACGGCAAGUGCUAGCUUUUAACACAGUGAUGUUCAUGUUAUUGCUUGUUACUAUAGGUAUUUCAAAAAGGGGUUAGGAGAGGUAUGUCCAGUUCUGCUGGCCCAAUACUCCUCAAAACCUAUCUUUGAGGUUUUAAUUAUUUAAAAAUUACACAGAGGAAAGACGCUGUUUAGUGUCACAAACCAUGUCUUUGGCUUAUUUUGCAAUUAUCCAUUGUUUUUAAUACUACUUUUUAGGCUAUUAUUCCUUUCAGCCUUACAGCAAUCAAACAUAAUUUUUCCUCAAUUCAUUUCCCACCAGACUACUCACUAAUUUUCCAUUCCUUCUUACCACAAAUUCUCACACAAAGUGGUGUUUAUUUUUGUUCCCUGCAACCUGUCUGCCUCUCUUUUCAUUCUAGUGAUACUACCUAAAAAAAACUAUAUUGAGGCAUAAUUUCAUAACUUUUAAAUAACUUUAAUGAGUUGUUUUCUAACUUUAUUGGUGACAAAGAAAAGGCAUCACUCACUUCAAGGGCAUAAGUCAGUGAUAUUUUAAGUAAAAUGACCAAGUUGUACAGCCAUCACCAUAAACAAGUUUUAGAAUAUUUCCAUCAUCCCAAUAAGUUGUGUUUGCUCCUUCUCCUCACCCUAGGUAGCCACUAAUUUGCAUUCUGCCUCUGUAGAUUUUCCUUUUCUGGACAUUUCAUAGAAACUGAACCAUAUAAUGUAUGGUCUCUGUGUCUGGCUUCUCUUACUGAGUGUGAAAGUUUUUGGGUUUCAUUAAUGUCAAAGUGUAUUUUACUACUUCAUUCUUAUCUAUUGACAAAUAAUAUUUCAUUGUAUAUGUAUAGCACAUAUUUCUAUUCAUUCAUUAGUUGAUGGAUGUUUAGAUUGUUUCCAAUUUUUGGUUGUUAUGAAUAAUACUCUU
Molecule: long non-coding RNA, 3464 nt
Organism: Gorilla gorilla gorilla (western lowland gorilla)
Lineage: Eukaryota; Metazoa; Chordata; Mammalia; Primates; Hominidae
Exons: 4
Source: RefSeq, a predicted model, not a curated record